UGGAGCAUAUGAAAGAUUAAAUUUUAGUGCUAAUUAAUUUUAGAUUAGAUUUGAAUUAAUUAAGCUUAAUUGGGUCUAAACUUCUAAGUUAGACUAGGUACAAAAAUCCUAAAGAGUUUGGGAUUGACAGUCUUUCGAAAUUAUUUCGAACCAGCUUCGAAUUAAAUUCGAAUCAGAUCUAUUUUGGAUAAGAUAUGAGGAAUCCUACUUGCACUAAAAUUUUUUUCUCUUAUGG
Molecule: long non-coding RNA, 235 nt
Filed under: Elaeis guineensis (African oil palm)
Lineage: Eukaryota; Viridiplantae; Streptophyta; Magnoliopsida; Arecales; Arecaceae
Description: long non-coding RNA (EGUI_LNC053313)
Source: RNAcentral